AAAAGCCAAACUAUCUGUGCACUAUAAUUUAAGAUUGGCCGACCUGACUACAGAGUCAAAGCCUUGGCACUUUUUGUCACUUCCAGGAAUGCUUCCCUGUACCAUCGAGAUCUUCUUUCUGGUCUUUACAUAUUCCAAGUACUAGAAACACAUAUUCACAUAAGCUAAAUAAAAAAGCAUAUGGAUAUUUGAAACUACAGGUGGAAAAGGUGUCUAUUUUAUUUAAAUCUGGCAAAAAAAGAGUUAAUGUCUGAUGAAUCCUUUGUGCUAGUAAGCUUUUGGACUGUGCCACUAUUCCUGCCAGCCCAGGUGGAGCUCUUCAGGUGCUGUUUCUGUUUAUAACAAGGAACAUCAUUCUUUUCCUUUGUGCCAGGAAGAAAUUUGAGAAGAUCAGUGAAAAGAAUUACAAAUAGCAUGAAGUGCUGGCUUGAUACUAGUCAGAGACUCCUUACUAACAGCAAAAGUCUCUUGAUCCCUCCUUUCAGAGAACAUGGAACAGUCAGUUACUAGUUUGCAGGUAAGAUUCGGAUAUCUACUUUUUGCAAAAAGUUUUAACUAAAUUUCAGUAUUAAAUAUGCAUUUUCCAUCCAAAAGUCAAAGUGGAAUUUUGGGCAAGGUGGCAGAAGACUUUAACAGACAAAAGUUUUCAGUUUUGACAGGAAAUUGUCUACAUAAUUUAUGUAUUUAUUUCAGUAUCUUUAUAAUUCUUUAAACAAAGUGUUUUCGUGUAGCUGUUCUUGCUCUCAUAAUUUACUCAGAAACAGAGAAAGGAGAAAGAAUUACAAGUAAUGAAAUAGAAAAUAGGCUGCUUGGUUGAAGCAGGCAGCAGAGCAGAAUAAAAAUGGGAAGGUACUGAGAAAGACUAGCAACAUGUUUAUUGCCAAGCAGUGGCAAACUAAACACAGAUAUAAAAUAUAUUGCAGACUCAUAGAUCUGUACAGAACUUGACUGGUUACCAAAUCUCAAUCUUAGAAAUAACUUACUUAAACACAAGGAGUACUCUCACUUAACUGUGUUUAGUGACUGCCUCAAAGGCAAUUGCAGGUAUUUGAGAAUUUGUUUCUUUAUUCAAAACAUGAUGCCAGAUAAAGACUUAUUGAACAGUCUGAAAUAUGAUUAGAUGUUCAGGCAUGUUUCACAUCCAGUGUUACACUUUAUCCUAAUGUCUAGAGACAGCAUCACUGAAAGUGAAGAAAUCAUAUAGUAUUUCAGGUCCUUCUGACUGAAAUAGGGCACAAGGUUAGUCUUUAAUUAAUUAUCUCUUCCUAAAAUGAAAGAAGUAUAUUUGCGACCUACCUAUACAAUUUGCAAGGCAUCACACUUAUAUAAAAACAGAUGAUCUGAGUCAUCAUAAUCUUCAGUAACCACAAAUAUACCACUGCCGUUUAAGCUACAUAUUGUAUCAUUUUUUUUUUUUUGUCAUGCAAGUAGUCUAAUUCAUUUCAGUGAACUAAAGACAUGUUCUGCUUUACCAGAUAAAAAUGCUUGUUUGGUAUGAAUUUAAUCUUUAUGUUCUUCAUUUCCUCUUAUUAUUCAGAAACAUAUUAUUCAGAAACUCUUCUGUUCUUGGAGAAAAGUUGGAGCAAGGAAAGCAGUCAGGAAUGAAUGUUUCUGUACACCAGUCUUACAGACAAAAUACAUCCCAAUUCAUACUAAAUGCUGGAGGUAAAACCACAAUACAAGCAUAUCUUUCAAAAUUGUGUGUCUCAUAUCAAGUGAUGUAAUAGAAUAUUUGGAAAGCUUAAACCAAAAUGUAUUUCAGAAAACUACAGUCAUUGAUUCUCGUGACAAUGGCAGAUGCUUAAAAUCACUUCUUUACAUUUCACUGAAUGGAAAAAAGUAUAUUGAAACACUUUCAAGGUUUUAAAUAGAGAUGUUCAGGCAGAGAUAAAAACAAAAAUAAUGCACAACAGACUACAGAUAAAUAAAUCACAACAACAAGUAAAAUAACAGAAAUGCCAAAAGCUCAUUUUCAAGACAGAUGCCUAAAUUAUUACUUAUGCUCCUUUUAGCAAUUUAAUUAAAGCUCUCACAAUCAACAUAGAGUCUGUAUGAAAACACUAUAAUAUGAAGGCUGCUCAGAAAGUAAUGUCUCCUAUUUUAUUGUGUUGGUCCACAACAUCGGAGGCAGAUGUUGGUGGUAUGACAGUAGAGGCUAAACUUUCCCACCAGUAUUCAGUUACAUGUUGUUGCCAUGCGACAGAUGGCAGCAAAGGGGCAGUCAGACAAAAUGAUGUCUGAUAUGGAAGUGCCUAUGAAACAAAGGUGUGGAACGGAAUUCCUCCAUGUGGAAAAAUGGCACCUACUGGUAUUCAUUGAUGCUUGCUGAAUGUUUAAGGAGACCAAACAGUGAAUGUGAGCACAGUGAGGUGGUUAGUGGUGCAUCUCAGCAAUAGUGACAGUGACAGUGGGUCACCUCUGCUGGUGUAGAUUUUUACAAGCAUACUAUGCCAGCUUUUGUUCAUUGCUGGUGAAAAUGCAUAGUUAAUGGUGCUGACUACACUGAAAGAUGGUGUUCUGUAGCUGAAAGUUUGCUGAACCAAACAGUGUUACCGUGCUCUCUGUAUUUGUCAUAGUUUCCAUAGAAAUAAAUAGGAGGCAUUACUUUUGGUGUGACAUACAUAUAUAUUAUAAACAUAGCCAGUAUUUUAGCUGAAGAAAUAAAUGCUUUGAUCUUGCUAUUGGGUGAACAGGAGUUAACCUGUGCUGAGCUCCAUUACCUUUCAAGGAGCUCUAUGAAGAAUGAAAGUAUGUACAUGUUGUCUCAUUUCCAAAAUGGGGGCUCUGUUUUGCAAAACAAAUGCUAGCAGUAAUGCCUAAAGACUGAAAUGACUUUGAAGCUCUCUAUGCAUCUCACAGGUCAAUCCUAAUCUUGAAGAAAAAAAUUCCUGUCUAAAACAUUGUUGUCUGUUCCACACAUGAUCUCUGUGGCAGACAACUGUAUUUCUACCUAAUUUCCUCAGCAUCUCUACAUGGUCCACUGAGUGUAUAUGAACAUAUGUACUGUAGUAUUUCAAACCCUUUCUGCAUGUUAUGUUAUGUUGCAUACAGCAGUGGAAAUCAGAGAUCAGAUUGCAUUCUUUUAAGAAACAAUAUACAUAGGAAUUUCAGGGUUCAGAUCAGGUGCUUGAAAAGUUGCCUUCCUGUAUGCUGUCUGUACUU
This 3162-nucleotide long non-coding RNA is filed under the name Gallus gallus (chicken). The record is from RNAcentral. Lineage: Eukaryota; Metazoa; Chordata; Aves; Galliformes; Phasianidae.